RNAcentral lists this ribosomal RNA (636 nucleotides) under uncultured bacterium. RNAcentral describes it as "bacterial SSU rRNA". It matches the Rfam family "Bacterial small subunit ribosomal RNA", at positions 608 to 1244 of the family's 1533-position model. The record is from RNAcentral.
GUUAACUGAGGGAUUGCUUUGGAAACUGGAUGACUUGAGUGCAGUAGAGGAAAGUGGAACUCCAUGUGUAGCGGUGAAAUGCGUAGAUAUAUGGAAGAACACCAGUGGCGAAGGCGGCUUUCUGGACUGUAACUGACGUUGAGGCUCGAAAGUGUGGGUAGCAAACAGGAUUAGAUACCCUGGUAGUCCACACCGUAAACGAUGAGUGCUAGGUGUUUGAGGGUUUCCGCCCUUAAGUGCCGCAGCUAGCGCAUUAAGCACUCCGCCUGGGGAGUACGACCGCAAGGUUGAAACUCAAAGGAAUUGACGGGGACCCGCACAAGCGGUGGAGCAUGUGGUUUAAUUCGAAGUUUCGCGAAGAACCUUACCAGGUCUUGACAUCCCUUGACAACUCCAGAGAUGGAGCGUUCCCUUCGGGGACAAGGUGACAGGUGGUGCAUGGUUGUCGUCAGCUCGUGUCGUGAGAUGUUGGGUUAAGUCCCGCAACGAGCGCAACCCUUAUUACUAGUUGCCAGCAUUUAGUUGGGCACUCUAGUGAGACUGCCGGUGACAAACCGGAGGAAGGUGGGGAUGACGUCAAAUCAUCAUGCCCCUUAUGACCUGGGCUACACACGUGCUACAAUGGCGUAUACAACG